This 713-nucleotide long non-coding RNA is filed under the name Homo sapiens (human). RNAcentral describes it as "HSALNT0302930". Lineage: Eukaryota; Metazoa; Chordata; Mammalia; Primates; Hominidae. The record is from RNAcentral.
AAACAGUUCUCAUUUUGUGUGCUCGGCUGACUGCACGUCCAGCCUCGGGCCAGCUCGAGACGGCCACAUUGCCUGGUUGAAGAUGGCUGAGCGUAAAACAGAAUGCAAGUCAGCUGGAGCACGUACUACUGGAGGCAGAGCCCCAUGAGAAGGGGCCAAGAACCCGCACCCAUCAAAAUCAAGAAGAAAGGCUGAACCCGGAGAGAAAAGGGAGCAACUGAUGUUGCCAUGCAGAUCCCUUGGUUGCUAUGAGAUGGUAACAUCACUCUGCCCCACCAUUGGCCAGUGCCUCCUCAGCUGCGGUGCCUCCCAGGCUGUGUGGUUCUCACGCGGGCCACUGACACAGAGCUGUUACUAUGGUGAACUUUACAAUUUCCUUUGAUUGGUGGAUUUCAGAAAUAGGCCAUCAGCGGAAUUCAUUAUAUUCAGCUAACCUGGCUCAGCUUCUCAGCUUCUCAGGUGGAUUGGUGAGUCCUGGCCAAUUACGCUUCAGCUCAUCUCUACUCUCAGCAAAUAGGAAAAGGGAGUGAAGGACUGAGUUUUAACUCUUCUAAUUUCGUAACCUGACUCUCUAUAAGAAAAAGUAGGAGAAAGACUGAAGAACCCGAGAGAACAGGCCUCUGAGCCCAAGCCAAGCCAUCGCAUCCCCUGUGACUUGCACGUAUACACCCAGAUGGCCUGAAGUAACUGAAGAAUCACAAAAGAAGUGAAUA